This 524-nucleotide ribosomal RNA is filed under the name uncultured bacterium. RNAcentral describes it as "partial 16S ribosomal RNA". It matches the Rfam family "Bacterial small subunit ribosomal RNA", at positions 355 to 889 of the family's 1533-position model. The record is from RNAcentral.
UGGGGAAUAUUGCACAAUGGGCGCAAGCCUGAUGCAGCAACGCCGCGUGAGGGACGACGGCCUUCGGGUUGUAAACCUCUUUUAGUAGGGAAGAAGCGAAAGCGACGGUACCUGCAGAAAAAGCACCGGCUAACUACGUGCCAGCAGCCGCGGUAAUACGUAGGGUGCGAGCGUUGUCCGGAAUUAUUGGGCGUAAAGAGCUCGUAGGCGGUCUGUCGCGUCUGCUGUGAAAACCCGAGGCUCAACCUCGGGCCUGCAGUGGGUACGGGCAGACUAGAGUGCGGUAGGGGAGAAUGGAAUUCCUGGUGUAGCGGUGGAAUGCGCAGAUAUCAGGAGGAACACCGAUGGCGAAGGCAGUUCUCUGGGCCGUAACUGACGCUGAGGAGCGAAAGCGUGGGGAGCGAACAGGAUUAGAUACCCUGGUAGUCCACGUCGUAAACGUUGGGCGCUAGAUGUGGGGACCAUUCCACGGUUUCCGUGUCGCAGCUAACGCAUUAAGCGCCCCGCCUGGGGAGUACGGCCGC